UACGAAGGGCCCGAGCGUUGCGCGGAAUCAUUGGGCUUAAAGCGUACGCAGGCGGGCGCGCAGGCGUUUUUGUGAAAUCCCUCGGCUCAACCGAGGAACUGCUUGACGAACCGCGCGUCUUGAGGCAAGUAGGGGCUGUCGGAACGAUAGGUGGAGUGGUGAAAUGCGUUGAUAUCUAUCGGAACGCCGAAGGAGAAAUCAGGCAGCUGGGCUUGUUCUGACGCUGAGGUACGAAAGCGUGGGGAGCGAACGGGAUUAGAUACCCGCGUA
This 270-nucleotide ribosomal RNA is filed under the name uncultured prokaryote. RNAcentral's name for it is "partial 16S ribosomal RNA". It matches the Rfam family "Bacterial small subunit ribosomal RNA", at positions 524 to 792 of the family's 1533-position model. The record is from RNAcentral.